This 206-nucleotide ribosomal RNA is filed under the name uncultured Pseudomonas sp. RNAcentral's name for it is "partial 16S ribosomal RNA". It matches the Rfam family "Bacterial small subunit ribosomal RNA", at positions 147 to 355 of the family's 1533-position model. The record is from RNAcentral. Lineage: Bacteria; Pseudomonadati; Pseudomonadota; Gammaproteobacteria; Pseudomonadales; Pseudomonadaceae.
CUUACGUGAAGGAACGCUAAUACCGCAUACGUCCUACGGGAGAAAGCAGGGGACCUUCGGGCCUUGCGCUAUCAGAUGAGCCUAGGUCGGAUUAGCUAGUUGGUGAGGUAAUGGCUCACCAAGGCGACGAUCCGUAACUGGUCUGAGAGGAUGAUCAGUCACACUGGAACUGAGACACGGUCCAGACUCCUACGGGAGGCAGCAGC